Molecule: microRNA precursor, 100 nt
Filed under: Chlorocebus sabaeus (green monkey)
Lineage: Eukaryota; Metazoa; Chordata; Mammalia; Primates; Cercopithecidae
Description: miRNA (ENSCSAG00000022070.1)
Source: RNAcentral
GAGGUGGGAGGAUUGCUUGAACCCAGGAGGUCGAGGCUGCAGUGAGCUGUGAUCGUGCCACUGCACUCCAGCCUGGGUGACAGAGCAAGACCUUGUCUCA